This 253-nucleotide ribosomal RNA is filed under the name uncultured bacterium. RNAcentral's name for it is "partial 16S ribosomal RNA". It matches the Rfam family "Bacterial small subunit ribosomal RNA", at positions 524 to 776 of the family's 1533-position model. The record is from RNAcentral.
UACGGGGGGGGCAAGCGUUGUUCGGAAUUACUGGGCGUAAAGGGCUCGUAGGCGGCCAACUAAGUCAGACGUGAAAUCCCUCGGCUUAACCGGGGAACUGCGUCUGAUACUGGAUGGCUAGAGUGUGGGAGAGGGAUGCGGAAUUCCAGGUGUAGCGGUGAAAUGCGUAGAUAUGCGGAGGAACACCGAUGGCGAAGGCAAUCCCCUGGACCUGUACUGACGCUCAUGCACGAAAGCGUGGGGAGCAAACAGG